CUAUUGUUUCAUUAAAAUUAUUCCUGUUGUGACUGGUUGCUGAAAUUACUGUGACUUUAUUAGUGUGAUUUCAAGUUUUUGAGGUCAGCUGUGGAGUACUAGUCCUUUUGAUAGUUAUUUGAUUAGAUCCUGAGUUUCAAGCUGAGUGUUGGGGUCUAAAUUGCUCAUGUUGGUUGUUUGCAGAGUUAUUAUUGCUCGAAAUUGGUUAUUUGGGUUGUAUUGAAGCUUAUUCAAAUCUUUGGAUUCCCUUAGGCUUGCUGCUGUUGCAUUGAUUAGCUGACUUCUUCCUCCUUUCUUUUAUUUUGCUCAAAAUUACCAGGUACACCCUUUUGUACGCACUUGCAAUUGGAAUGAAAAAUGGAGAUUUGAGCUUGCUGUUGCAUAGUUGUUUAUAUCUGUUUGGUUUAGCUGUUUAUAAGUUGUAGUAUAUUAGGGUUUAUCUGAGAAUUUAUCCUCAAUUAACGUAAACUCCUUGUAACUAGACUGAAACUAAAUUGUGGUAGUUAGAAUGAGUUUGUGGGAUUGUUUAAUUAGUUUCAACUUUUCUGUUUUACAAAAUGAAGUGAUUUGGAGUGGCAGAAGUCAUGUUCAUUUGUAAUGGUUUGCUAGGUCUAUAAUGGUAUUGGUAUUUGCUGGUCUAUUCUUUUGAAAGUUCGAAAUCCACUCUCAAUUUGAAAUCAAUAAAUUCAGGUGCUCUAAAUAAUUACAAUAGGCCCUCUGUGAAUUUAAUGCUUCUAGUAUUUUAAGGACUUGGUAUUAGGGGAUUUAUCUGAUUAGCUUAAGCUGGAAAUGAAAUUUGUAUUGAUCAACUGACUUUGGCUUUUAACCUUCAAUUAGUUAGACUGUUUCUUGUGGUGUAUUAAAACUCAGGUAUUAAUAAGUUGCAGAGUAUGAAUUUACUAUUUGAAAUCCAUGCUAGUUAAAAACAAAGGUAAUUCUGGGAUUUAAAAAAGAGAGUUUCAAUUGUCUAUAUGAGCUUGCUGUCGUUCUUUAAUCAGUUUCUUUAUGGUGUUUUCUCAUGUGAAAGUAGUCUUCAACGUUAUUUAUUAUUGCUUGUAUGGAAAUUUGAUGGAAAUUUAGGCUCAAGACGUGAAAGUUGGGCUAAUGGUCGGCGUCAAGGCCCAAAGCCUCCGCAUUCAGAGAUAAGAUCAGCAAAUAAAUUCAAACUUUUUCUCUAUCAGGGAUUUGAUCCCAGGAAGGGCAAUGGCUGUUGCCCAGAGUUUUUCCGCCCUGUUGGGCCUCAUCAAGUGGCCCAGUUCGUUGGUUGAGUUGGACUGCUUAGUGCAAUUCCUACUUUUGCCUAUUAACUAAAUUCACGUAGUUAAGUUUUCCUUUUUGUAGAGAUGCUUAAUCAAACAAAAAUUGUAGUCACUUUUCAUACCUUUUAAUAAAUGUUGAGACGAGCCUCCCAAACAAAAACAAAUGUGGGACCCUCGAUAAAUAAUUAUAAGAAUUGAUUAGAAUAUGGGAGGGUCAUUUAGUGAAUUUCAUGGCCUUCCCCGAAAUAAUAACACGACGCGUUUAAUUAAAAUACCUUCUUAAACUCGGGUGUGCAUUAAUGCGAUCCAAAUCCAAAUCUCAAUGAAGUCGAAAUGUGUCAAUGACUAUGGGUUCCUUGAUGGCGACGUGGUCAGAGACGCAUUUUCACGAUGUCACAAGUCUUUUAAAAUAAAUAACGGUAAAAGCGAUUUUAUAAAUAAAAGGCACAUACGCUAGCAUGUAUUAAAAUAGGAUAAAAUCAAAUACAACAGUUGAGUGACCGUUCUAGUACCACGGAACCCGGGAAUGUCUAACACCUUCUCCAGAGUUAACAGAAUUCCUUAUCUGGAUUUCUAGUUAGCGGACUGUUAACAGAGUCAUAAUAUUCCUCGGUUCGGGAUUCAAAUUGGUGACUUGGCACACCACAAAUCUCCCAAGUGGUGACUCUGAAUAUUUAAUAACCAAAUCCCUUUCCGAUUGUCCUUUAAUUGGAAAAACUCCUUUACGCUCCUUGGCCGGGGUGUAUAGCGAAAAAGGAGGUGUGAAAAGUACUACCGUCAAGCUCCAAUGUAUGUUAACUUCUGUUAGUCCUAAGUAUAAGCAAAAUACUUAAUCAUGUAAAUCUCGUAAAGCUAUGUUGCAUUCUUAAUUAUUUUUGCUGUUCAUGUUAUUUUACAUUGCUAGAAAGACUUCUUUUACUUUUCCCAUUAUAUAAAUAUGCCCCAAAUAUUUUUUUUAUCAUCUACUUAGUGGAACAGUAUGUCGGAAUUAUCUGUUGUUAGUUGUUACUAUUAUAGAUUUUGAUUGAACAAUCGGUGUAUUAAUUUACUUUUUUAAUCUUUUACUGGAUAUGAAUGAUAAUUUAGUUGUUGUGUGUAGGUUAUGGUUGAAAGUUUUUCUAUUUUUGUUGUUAAGAUAUAGGUUUUGACUGAAAUACUGUCUGUUUGUAACAAACCACUAUGAUGGGUUGGAGGAUGUGUGAUGUGGAGUUUCGGCCGUACUUUGUGCUUGGUGACUUAUGAGAGUCUUUUAGAGAAUGGAAUGCAUAUGAAACUGGAGUUCCAAUAGUAUUGAAUGAAGGGUGAUAGUGUAGUUCAAUAUCUAUGUAGGCUAUUUGUUCCUUGAUUAUUAUUAUAUACAUAUUAAAACAUGUAAUAUUGAAAUUCCCAUUGACAGUAUUAGCAUCUCCCAUAAUUUCAGCAGUAGCAUAAACCCAAUUUGGUGCUAUAUCAGGAUGGAGAUAUUUUAUGCUUGAAGGAUUAACUGAAACACCAACCGGAAAGCUAUUGACGUGCAUGUACUUCACGUCAUUCUCUCAAGUUCUCCCUAAGGUAUCAUUCUGAGUGGUAACCAAGGACCACCCAUGUUUAGCCGAUAAACAGUCAAGGUAUAUAUUUGCAUGGUUUCUCCUUCCACAUUUAGCCUGAACUUAGCUUUUGUUACUCAUGGCCCAAUCAAAUUGCUGGCCGCAUCAGUUCAUGGUCUCAAUACCCUAUUGAAGAUGCUUAUUUUGUAUUUCUUUGAUUUUAUGUGUGCUCCUUAAUGCUUAUAUCAGUUCCACAAUUAUUAUUGGGAAUAUUUAUGCUUUGUAAAUAAUGAUUAUUUGUUUUUACAUAAAGUGC
RNAcentral lists this long non-coding RNA (3101 nucleotides) under Nicotiana benthamiana. RNAcentral's name for it is "long non-coding RNA (NBEN_LNC006706)". The record is from RNAcentral. Lineage: Eukaryota; Viridiplantae; Streptophyta; Magnoliopsida; Solanales; Solanaceae.